Long non-coding RNA from Rhinichthys klamathensis goyatoka, 564 nucleotides. RefSeq lists it as uncharacterized. The transcript is spliced from 5 exons. NCBI's taxonomy places the organism in Eukaryota, Metazoa, Chordata, Actinopteri, Cypriniformes, Leuciscidae. The record is from RefSeq and is a predicted model, not a curated record.
GCCGUCAGAUCUCAUUCGGCUAAUCAGAUACAGCGUUAUUGCAGCUGUGUUGGAGUUGGCAGGUAGUUAAACGGGUGAGUAGGGGACUGCAGUGUCUCGGCGUCUCUCUCCCCCUGAGUCCAGGUCUCUGGCUGGAACACGGUGACCUAUAGCUGCUCUUGGCAGAGUCGUGGGGUUACCAGAAGGGCAGAACUGCACUCCCAGUCUGGCAUCUUGAGCUCUAUGGAGCGAAGCGGCUAACUUGCAGACUUCCUGCUUUCUUGCAGUCUAGCAUCCUCCUAAAAUCGGAGGUCAAAGUGGCGUUGAAACCGAGCAUGGUGUGCUGAUGUCCUGACGUGAAAGCGUCUCGCAGCGUGAAGCUUCCGUUAAACCCAUGUGCACGGUUAGAAAACAAAAGAGUCUGGGACAGAGAGAGAGAGAGAGAGAGAGAGAGAGAGAGAGAGAGAGAGAGAGAGAGAGAGAGAGAGAGAGAGAGAGAGAGAGAGAUCGGCCAAGUACGUUGACACUGAUGGCAUCAUAUGCACUCAUGCUGAAAGGUUUGUCAUAGCAUUUUCCCGAGGCAGG